Molecule: small nuclear RNA, 65 nt
Filed under: Castor canadensis (American beaver)
Lineage: Eukaryota; Metazoa; Chordata; Mammalia; Rodentia; Castoridae
Description: U7 small nuclear RNA (ENSCCNG00000031054.1)
Rfam family: U7 small nuclear RNA (bases 1-47)
About the family: Animal histone pre-mRNAs are spliced by a different mechanism than nuclear pre-mRNAs and self-splicing introns. This processing involves the U7 snRNP, which contains only one RNA species: U7. The 5' end of U7 RNA is thought to base-pair to a conserved spacer element downstream of the cleavage site in histone pre-mRNA.
Source: RNAcentral
AAGUGUUACAGUUCUUUAAAAUUUAUCUAGCAGGUGUUCCGGCCCUUGCUAGAAAGGAAACUCAA